AUUAGAUACCCGCGUAGUCCCAGCUGUAAACGAUGCGCGUUAGGUGUAUCGGUGACCACGAGUCACCGAGGUGCCGAAGGGAAACCGUGAAACGUGCCGCCUGGGAAGUACGGUCGCAAGGCUGAAACUUAAAGGAAUUGGCGGGGGAGCACCACAACAGGUGGAGCCUGCGGUUUAAUCGGACUCAACGCCGGGAAGCUCACCGGAUAAGACAGCUGGAUGAUAGCCGGGCUGAAGACUCUGCUUGACUAGCUGAGAGGAGGUAA
This 266-nucleotide ribosomal RNA is filed under the name uncultured archaeon. RNAcentral describes it as "partial 16S ribosomal RNA". It matches the Rfam family "Archaeal small subunit ribosomal RNA", at positions 728 to 993 of the family's 1478-position model. The record is from RNAcentral.